UACGAAGGGGGCUAGCGUUGCUCGGAAUUAUUGGGCGUAAAGCGCGCGUAGGCGGCUACUUAAGUCGGAUGUGAAAGCCCCUGGCUCAACUGGGGAAGUGCACCCGAAACUGAGUAGCUUGAGUGCAAAAGAGGGCCGCGGAAUUCCCGGUGUAGAGGUGAAAUUCGUAGAUAUUAGGAAGAACACCGGUGGCGAAGGCGGCGCACUGGCUCGAUACUGACGCUGAGGUGCGAAAGCGUGGGGAGCAAACAGG
RNAcentral lists this ribosomal RNA (253 nucleotides) under uncultured bacterium. RNAcentral describes it as "partial 16S ribosomal RNA". It matches the Rfam family "Bacterial small subunit ribosomal RNA", at positions 524 to 776 of the family's 1533-position model. The record is from RNAcentral.